Molecule: ribosomal RNA, 293 nt
Filed under: uncultured bacterium
Lineage: Bacteria
Description: partial 16S ribosomal RNA
Rfam family: Bacterial small subunit ribosomal RNA
Source: RNAcentral
GUGCCAGCAGCCGCGGUAAUACAGAGGGUGCAAGCGUUGUUCGGAAUUACUGGGCGUAAAGCGCGCGCAGGCGGGUCUGGUAAGUCUGGAGUGAAAUUCCACCGCUCAACGGUGGAGCUGCUUUGGAUACUGCGGAUCUGGAGACCGGUAGAGGCUGGUGGAAUUGCAGGUGUAGCGGUGGAAUGCGUAGAGAUCUGCAAGAACACCCGUGGCGAAGGCGGCCAGCUGGGCCGGUUCUGACGCUGAGGCGCGAAAGCGUGGGGAGCAAACAGGAUUAGAUACCCCAGUAGUCC